CUCAUUCUGAUUCUGAUUCACUGGACUUCCUGUUACUGUUGGCACGACUGUUUGUAGCCUGCAAGCCUGCUUAGCAUUGCUUAUUCUUAUUCUCAUACGUUCAUCAUUUUACCGCGUGUUUGGGGUUUUUCCGCUUUUCUACUGUUUCAUCUGUGUGUAUUUUACCUGUUGCUGCUGGCGCCUAGCUCGAGUCUGUGUUUGUAGAUUGCUAGCUUUUUUAGCAUCGCUUAUCUAUCUUUUUUCAUCUUUUAAUCCUUAACAUCUGCCAUUUUUCAGCGUGCAUCGUGUUUUCCCCUACAUUAUUCUCUUAUCGCGAUUCAACUGCUUGCAUUUUCCGCGUGCAUCUGCUUUCUAUUUUUAUCGCGAUUAAACUGCGUGCGUUUUUCUCCUCUGUUACACGGAUUAUUGCAUCGAUCUCAAAGCACCGCUUAUCAAGAACAACCAUAACAGCAAACAAUUUCGUGAGGGACUCACAUCGAUCUCAAACCCACACCGUGGAAGAAUACAAAAUUAGAGAACUGGCUGGAUCCAGCUCCAUUCCUGCUUCGUGUUGGACUCCACUGCUACGUGUCUCUGAGUGAUGAUGACUAAUAGCAGCCGGUGCAAGCCAAACAUCACUUCAGUCUAUUACAAUGGACUUCAGAGGAUGAAUUGAUGCCAACUCCAACCAUAAGACAUGGGAUAUUUUAUAUACCAUUGCCUGAACCUUGGACUUAGGAUAGACCUCACCUAAAUUACUGGCCGGUUGAACUGCGAUGCACCUAACUGAUCUCUGCCUUCAUCACCUCGGACUAAUGAUGGACUACACUCUUGAAAUGGAAUAUAUAGACUAUCAAUUAAUUGCCAACAAAACCCUUCAUCAGCCAACUAACAAGAACAAUUGCAUCUAUGUGAAUCUAAGACAUUAUAGAUAUUAAAGUUUCAUUUUCUGUUAA
Molecule: long non-coding RNA, 935 nt
Organism: Myxocyprinus asiaticus (Chinese sucker)
Lineage: Eukaryota; Metazoa; Chordata; Actinopteri; Cypriniformes; Catostomidae
Exons: 2
Source: RefSeq, a predicted model, not a curated record